This 47-nucleotide ribosomal RNA is filed under the name Bursaphelenchus gillanii. RNAcentral's name for it is "partial 28S ribosomal RNA". The record is from RNAcentral. Lineage: Eukaryota; Metazoa; Nematoda; Chromadorea; Rhabditida; Aphelenchoididae.
AACCACCUGAGUUGGGUAUGACUACCUGCUGAACUUAAGCAUAUCAG